This 253-nucleotide ribosomal RNA is filed under the name uncultured bacterium. RNAcentral's name for it is "partial 16S ribosomal RNA". It matches the Rfam family "Bacterial small subunit ribosomal RNA", at positions 524 to 776 of the family's 1533-position model. The record is from RNAcentral.
UACGGAGGGUGCAAGCGUUAAUCGGAAUUACUGGGCGUAAAGCGCGCGUAGGCGGCUAGAUAAGUCGGAUGUGAAAGCCCUGGGCUCAACCUGGGAAUUGCAUUGGAUACUGGCGGGCUAGAGUGCGGUAGAGGAUGGCGGAAUUCCCGGUGUAGCAGUGAAAUGCGUAGAGAUCGGGAGGAACAUCCGUGGCGAAGGCGGCCAUCUGGACCAGCACUGACACUGAGGCACGAAAGCGUGGGGAGCAAACAGG